This 778-nucleotide ribosomal RNA is filed under the name Anchoviella sp. 1 DDB-2012. RNAcentral describes it as "partial 16S ribosomal RNA". It matches the Rfam family "Bacterial large subunit ribosomal RNA", at positions 585 to 1860 of the family's 2925-position model. Lineage: Eukaryota; Metazoa; Chordata; Actinopteri; Clupeiformes; Engraulidae. The record is from RNAcentral.
GCAGAGAUUUUCACUCGUACCUUUUGCAUCAUGAUUCAGCAAGUUUAUUCAAGCAAAGAGAACUCUAGUUUGCAUCCCCGAAACUUGACGAGCUACUCCGAGACAGCCAACAAUGGGCCAACCCGUCUCUGUGGCAAAAGAGUGGGAAGAUCUCCGAGUAGGGGCAAGAAACCUACCGAGCCAAGUUAUAGCUGGUUGCCUAAUAAACGAAUAAAAGUUCAGCCCCGCCUAGCCCAACUCAAAAAAGUCCUACGAAAAAAGACAAAGAGCUUACCCGCGGGAGUUAAUCAAAGGAGGUACAGCUCCUCUGAUACAGGAUACAACCUUUCUAGGAGAUCAAAGAAUAAUACUUAACAAGGCCUUAGGUCUCAGUGGGCCUGAAAGCAGCCACCUGAUCCGAAAGCGUUAAAGCUCUGACCCAAAAGAUAAGCCUCUUAUCUAAUUUUAAUCUCUGUUUUCCCUAUAUCCUAUUAGGCCUCCCCAUGCACCCAUGGGAGAGACUAUGCUGAAACGAGUAACAAGAAGAAUGAACUUCUCCCCGCACAAGUGUAUGUCAGAUUGGACCAACCACCGACAAUUAACGAACCCAACAAAAGAGGGCCUUGUAUACCCGUCAUUUAUGACCAGGAAAACCAUGCUACUUAGAAUCGUUACCCCAACACAGGAGUGCUUGAACAAGGAAAGACUAAAAGAAAAAAAAGGAACUCGGCAAACUCAGACCCCGCCUGUUUACCAAAAACAUCGCCUCUUGCACCACAAAGUAUAAGAGGUCCCACCU